RNAcentral lists this ribosomal RNA (253 nucleotides) under uncultured bacterium. RNAcentral describes it as "partial 16S ribosomal RNA". It matches the Rfam family "Bacterial small subunit ribosomal RNA", at positions 524 to 776 of the family's 1533-position model. The record is from RNAcentral.
UACGUAGGGUGCAAGCGUUAUUCGGAAUUACUGGGCGGAAAGCGUGCGCAGGCGGUUUUGCAAGACAGAUGUGAAAUCCCCGGGCUCAACCUGGGAAUUGCAUUUGUGACUGCACGGCUAGAGUGUGUCAGAGGGGGGUAGAAUUCCACGUGUAGCAGUGAAAUGCGUAGAUAUGUGGAGGAAUACCGAUGGCGAAGGCAGCCCCCUGGGAUAACACUGACGCUCAUGCACGAAAGCGUGGGGAGCAAACAGG